Long non-coding RNA from Pyrus x bretschneideri (Chinese white pear), 539 nucleotides. RefSeq lists it as uncharacterized. Lineage: Eukaryota; Viridiplantae; Streptophyta; Magnoliopsida; Rosales; Rosaceae. The transcript has 2 exons. The record is from RefSeq and is a predicted model, not a curated record.
GACUUGCCACGUCGUCAAUUAACAGUCAAAUUGAUGAAUUUUAUUUACGGAGAUCUGAUAUUGCAAUUAAUUUGUAAGUUAACAUAUGACAUUGCAAUGACCAAAAUAUGGGGUAUGAGUUUAUUACAUGACUUUAAAUUGAGGUGGUAAAACCUAAUUUACCCAACUUGCAAGUGUGAAAAUGUGAAGAAAAAAAAAAUGCAAAUGCUCAUGAUCGCAUCAUCUACGCUUUGAUGAUAGGCAUCUCGUCGUUUGGAUUUUUAAACUCUAUAACUCUUUUGAACAAUAUUUUUUUUUAUAGUUCAAAAUAAAUAAAAAUUCAUAAUAUUUGAUGUAAAAUUGUGAAAAAUGUAAGGUAAAUUACACAAAACCACCUCAAAUAUGGAUCGUACCACAAUCGCAUCUCUCAUAUUUGAAACAUUGCAAUGUCUUACCUUUGUUAAAUUUUCUAUCAGUUUGAACGUUAAAUGAUGACAUGGCAGGUGCUGGCCCACUUCCUCACCCAAGAUUGAAAAAUUAAUUGAUAAGUUAAAAAAAUU